GGGCUCCGGAGUGCCUCCAUAACCCUUAUGUGACCGUACCUAUCGUUGCUUCGGCGGGAACGCCCCGGCGCCCCGAGCCCGGACCCAGGCGCCCGCCGGAGGCCCCAAACUCUUGUGUUUUUCCUGCAGUAUUCUCUGAGUGGCAUAACGCAAAAAAUAAAUCAAAACUUUUAACAACGGAUCUCUUGGCUCUGGCAUCGAUGAAGAACGCAGCGAAAUGCGAUAAGUAAUGUGAAUUGCAGAAUUCAGUGAAUCAUCGAAUCUUUGAACGCACAUUGCGCCCGUUAGCAUUCUAGCGGGCAUGCCUGUCCGAGCGUCAUUUCAACCCUCAGGGCCCCCCGUUCCGGCGGGCGGACCUGGCGUUGGGGAUCGGCCCGCCCCGUGCGGCGCCGUCCCCCAAAUACAGUGGCGGUCCCGCCGCAGCCUCCCCUGCGUAGUAGUUUACAACCUCGCAUCGGAGCGCGGCGCGGCCACGCCGUAAAACCCCCGACUUUCUGAACGUUGACCUCGGAUCAGGUAGGAAUACCCGCUGAACUUAAGCAUAUCAAAA
Molecule: ribosomal RNA, 550 nt
Filed under: Stachybotrys chartarum
Lineage: Eukaryota; Fungi; Ascomycota; Sordariomycetes; Hypocreales; Stachybotryaceae
Description: eukaryotic LSU rRNA
Rfam family: 5.8S ribosomal RNA (bases 166-319)
Source: RNAcentral